Molecule: transfer RNA, 74 nt
Filed under: Trichonephila clavata
Lineage: Eukaryota; Metazoa; Arthropoda; Arachnida; Araneae; Nephilidae
Rfam family: tRNA
About the family: Transfer RNA (tRNA) molecules are approximately 80 nucleotides in length. Their secondary structure includes four short double-helical elements and three loops (D, anti-codon, and T loops).
Source: Rfam by way of RNAcentral
GUCUCUGUAGCGCAAUGGGUAGCGCGUUGGACUUCUAAUCCAAAGGACAUGCAUUUCGAAUCCCACCUGGGAUG